GCAGAAGUGGCGGAACGGCAGACGCGCUGGCUUCAGGUGCCAGUGGUAGCAAUAUCGUGUGGGUUCAAAUCCCAUCUUCUGCA
This 83-nucleotide transfer RNA is filed under the name Agathobacter sp. Its description in RNAcentral is "tRNA-Leu". It matches the Rfam family "tRNA". From Rfam's summary of the family: Transfer RNA (tRNA) molecules are approximately 80 nucleotides in length. Their secondary structure includes four short double-helical elements and three loops (D, anti-codon, and T loops). Lineage: Bacteria; Bacillati; Bacillota; Clostridia; Lachnospirales; Lachnospiraceae. The record is from RNAcentral.